Molecule: ribosomal RNA, 912 nt
Filed under: uncultured bacterium
Lineage: Bacteria
Description: bacterial SSU rRNA
Rfam family: Bacterial small subunit ribosomal RNA
Source: RNAcentral
CAGAAGGUCUACGGGAUGGAAGGAUAAGAACUUAGUGGCGGACGGGUGAGUAACGCGUGGGUAACCUGCCCUUUUGUGGGGAACAACUUCGAGAAAUCGGAGCUAAUACCGCAUAAUAAUAGAGGAUCGCAUGAUUCUUUAAGGAAAGAUGGCCUCUGAAGAUGCUAUCGCAAAAGGAUGGACCCGCGUCUGAUUAGCUAGUUGGAAGGGUAACGGCCUACCAAGGCAACGAUCAGUAGCCGGCCUGAGAGGGUGAACGGCCACAUUGGGACUGAGACACGGCCCAAACUCCUACGGGAGGCAGCAGUGGGGAAUCUUCCGCAAUGGGCGAAAGCCUGACGGAGCAAUGCCGCGUGAGUGAAGAAGGCCUUCGGGUUGUAAAACUCUGUCCUUAUCGAAGAGAGGUAGGUAUGUGGAUAAUGUACCUAUAGGACGGUAGAUAAGGAGGAAGCCCCGGCUAACUACGUGCCAGCAGCCGCGGUAAUACGUAGGGGGCGAGCGUUGUCCGGAAUCACUGGGCGUAAAGGGCGCGUAGGCGGUUUAAUAAGUCAGUGGUGAAAACUGAGGGCUCAACCCUCAGCCUGCCACUGAUACUGUUAGACUUGAGUAUGGAAGAGGAGAAUGGAAUUCCUAGUGUAGCGGUGAAAUGCGUAGAUAUUAGGAGGAACACCAGUGGCGAAGGCGAUUCUCUGGGCCAAGACUGACGCUGAGGCGCGAAAGCGUGGGGAGCAAACAGGAUUAGAUACCCUGGUAGUCCACGCCGUAAACGAUGGAUACUAGGUGUUAGUAGUUUCGAUGCUACUAGUGCCGGAGUAAACAUAAUAAGUAUCCCGCCUGGGGAGUACGGUCGCAAGACUGAAACUCAAAGGAAUUGACNGGGGCCCGCACAAGCGGUGGAGCAUGUGGUUUAAU